GGGCGAAGGGGGAUGGUCUAAGGCAUGCGAGUCAUUGUAGUAACACAAGGCAGACGGCUCAGUAACGCGUAGUCAACCUACCCUAAGGACGGGGAUAACCUCGGGAAACUGAGAAUAAUACCCGAUAGAACAUAGCUCCUGGAAUGGUUUAUGUUUCAAAUAAUUUAUUGCCCUAGGAUGGGACUGCGGCCUAUCAGUUUGUUGGUGAGGUAAUGGCCCACCAAGACUAUUACAGGUACGGGCUCUGAGAGGAGUGGCCCGGAGAUGGGUACUGAGACACGGACCCAGGCCCUAUGGGGCGCAGCAGGCGAGAAAACUUUGCAAUGUGCGAAAGCACGACAAGGUUAAUCCGAGUGGUUUCUGCUAAAGGAACCUUUUGUCAGUCCUAGAAACACUGAUGAAUAAGGAGUGGGCAAGUUCUGGUGUCAGCCGCCGCGGUAAAACCAGCACCUCAAGUGGUCAGGAUGAUUAUUGGGCCUAAAGCAUCCGUAGCCGGCUUUGUAAGUUUUCGGUUAAAUCCAUGCGCUCAACGUAUGGGCUGCCGGGAAUACUGCAAAGCUAGGGAGUGGGAGAGGUAGACGGUACUCGGUAGGAAGGGGUAAAAUCCUUUGAUCUAUUGAUGACCACCUGUGGCGAAGGCGGUCUACCAGAACACGUCCGACGGUGAGGGAUGAAAGCUGGGGGAGCAAACCGGAUUAGAUACCCGGGUAGUCCCAGCUGUAAACUAUGCAAACUCAGUGAUGCAUUGGCUUGAUGCCAAUGCAGUGCUGCAGGGAAGCCGUUAAGUUUGCCGCCUGGGAAGUACGUACGCAAGUAUGAAACCUAAAGGAAUUGGCGGGGGAGCACCACAAGGGGUGAAGCCUGCGGUUCAAUUGGAGUCAACGCCGGG
Molecule: ribosomal RNA, 889 nt
Filed under: uncultured archaeon
Lineage: Archaea
Description: bacterial SSU rRNA
Rfam family: Archaeal small subunit ribosomal RNA
Source: RNAcentral